GCCCAGCACAGCCACCCCACCUCUGCAACUGGGAUCAAGAACUGGGGUUCUCAGGAUGUCCUGAUGUCUCCAGGCCUCGGUGGACCCAAUGACCCCAACACAUGUCCCAAGAAGGGAACGACCUGGGGAGACGGGACAUCACGGCGGUGACACAGCCCCUGAACCAGGGUCAUUCCGGAUUAGACAGGAGGCUACGGUGCUAGCAAUCACAGACACGUUUCUCCCGUUCACCGCCUAACUUUGCUGACAGUGGGUUUGGCUGCGGACACAUCUGACACCUCCAGGCUCUCAGCCCAGCAGUGUCCUUCGGCGCUUCUACACUCAGAAAGCCCCCAGAGUCUGAAAGUGGCUUUGCUGUGCUUGAUGCUUCUCCUUCUUCACUGUGAGGUCCGUCUGGGUUUCCUGCUGGUGUUAUGUGGGGGGGAGGCUGAAACUUGAUCUUCCUGCAGGUGGCCCCGAGGAGAGACCAUCACUGCUUGAACCGUGCCUUGGUCUCCUCGUGGAUUCUUGCACAGCUUUGGCCCUGGCCAUUUCGGGAGACACUUACACUUCGGUUAGGAUAAUCGCCUUCCUCCAAAGUGUGCUUACAGUGGUGAUAAUAAGCUUCACUUGGUGCACACCCAUGAGUGUGGCUGCUCGCAUGGAAAGGCGGGAGGGCACAGCGAGCACCCGUGUCUCCGGUGAGAAGACUUAGGACGGCCCUCAGGGACAACCACGUAUUUCUCCUUCCUGUUGGACCUAUCAGCAACUUCUUAAGCUUCUUGUGGCAGUCCGGGUUCUCCAGAGACACGGAAGCCACAGGAGGGACAGGAUUCGUUGGGACGGGAGAAACAUCCAGAAAGCAGGACAUCACAAGCCUGUGGGAGCUCGGGCGGCUGGUGACAAGACCCGAGGCAAGUUCUCGUGGGAUGAGCCCCCUGGCUGUUGCCACGGAGAGAGCAAUGACUCCAACCCCGGGUGUUUGCCAGUGUCUGUAGUUAGACGCCCCUACACGGCCAACUUCAAGCCGCCCAAGGGCUGGCCCUGAACGUGAGCUUGGCGAGAGCUGCAAGCAGCAUUUUCACCAGCCAGAAGCAGCACAGAGUGUCC
RNAcentral lists this long non-coding RNA (1089 nucleotides) under Zalophus californianus (California sea lion). Its description in RNAcentral is "lncRNA (ENSZCAG00015017658.1)". The record is from RNAcentral. Lineage: Eukaryota; Metazoa; Chordata; Mammalia; Carnivora; Otariidae.